GUCAUCCUCCAAUAACGGCUUCCCCCCCCCCCCGGGGGAAUCAGUGUCUGAUUCAACGCUGUGAUUGGAGGAAGCCGGAUUCCUCAUUUUAGACCCUGGAAGAGGCUUUGCAACAGGUGGAGGAAGAGAUGCAGUGGCUGUCAAGAUUAAAAGGGAGAUUCUCUAAGCGCAGGCACCAAGCAAUGAACUUACCUUCACAGUGCAGCAAUCUCUUCUAAUCCUUGACCGAUAAAACGGGUCUACUGCAUACAGAACUGACAUGCAGAGAGUGACGUAAUUGAUGACAUUGCAGUAUCUUGCGCAAUAAGAAUAGUGGUCGCCAUCUUUAAACCUGGGUUCUCAGCCCGGAUUGGAUAACGAUAAUAAUGAAAAACGGAGUGGGUUUGGAAAGGAUUAAAACUUUGGAGCCAACUAUCUUCUUAAAACGGCAAGUAAUUGAAACAGAUAGGGCAUUAUAAAAAUAUUUAUUUUAUGACUUUCUUUUCUGCCUUCAGUGUCCCUUUAAUAAAAGCUUCCUUUUUUUACCUUA
Molecule: long non-coding RNA, 529 nt
Organism: Bombina bombina (fire-bellied toad)
Lineage: Eukaryota; Metazoa; Chordata; Amphibia; Anura; Bombinatoridae
Exons: 2
Source: RefSeq, a predicted model, not a curated record